GACGAAAAAUGAAUACCAAGUCUCAAGAGUGAACACGUAAUUCAUUACGAAGUUUAAUUCAUUGAGCAUCAAACUUUUAAAUUGAAGAGUUUGAUCAUGGCUCAGAUUGAACGCUGGCGGCAGGCCUAACACAUGCAAGUCGAACGGUAACAGGAAGCAGCUUGCUGCUUUGCUGACGAGUGGCGGACGGGUGAGUAAUGUCUGGGAAACUGCCUGAUGGAGGGGGAUAACUACUGGAAACGGUGGCUAAUACCGCAUAACGUCGCAAGACCAAAGAGGGGGACCUUCGGGCCUCUUGCCAUCAGAUGUGCCCAGAUGGGAUUAGCUUGUUGGUGAGGUAACGGCUCACCAAGGCGACGAUCCCUAGCUGGUCUGAGAGGAUGACCAGCCACACUGGAACUGAGACACGGUCCAGACUCCUACGGGAGGCAGCAGUGGGGAAUAUUGCACAAUGGGCGCAAGCCUGAUGCAGCCAUGCCGCGUGUAUGAAGAAGGCCUUCGGGUUGUAAAGUACUUUCAGCGGGGAGGAAGGUGUUGUGGUUAAUAACCGCAGCAAUUGACGUUACCCGCAGAAGAAGCACCGGCUAACUCCGUGCCAGCAGCCGCGGUAAUACGGAGGGUGCAAGCGUUAAUCGGAAUUACUGGGCGUAAAGCGCACGCAGGCGGUCUGUCAAGUCGGAUGUGAAAUCCCCGGGCUCAACCUGGGAACUGCAUUCGAAACUGGCANNNNNNNNNNNNNNNNNNNNGAAUUCCAGGUGUAGCGGUGAAAUGCGUAGAGAUCUGGAGGAAUACCGGUGGCGAAGGCGGCCCCCUGGACAAAGACUGACGCUCAGGUGCGAAAGCGUGGGGAGCAAACAGGAUUAGAUACCCUGGUAGUCCACGCCGUAAACGAUGUCUACUUGGAGGUUGUGCCCUUGAGGCGUGGCUUCCGGAGCUAACGCGUUAAGUAGACCGCCUGGGGAGUACGGCCGCAAGGUUAAAACUCAAAUGAAUUGACGGGGGCCCGCACAAGCGGUGGAGCAUGUGGUUUAAUUCGAUGCAACGCGAAGAACCUUACCUGGUCUUGACAUCCACGGAAGUUUUCAGAGAUGAGAAUGUGCCUUCGGGAACCGUGAGACAGGUGCUGCAUGGCUGUCGUCAGCUCGUGUUGUGAAAUGUUGGGUUAAGUCCCGCAACGAGCGCAACCCUUAUCCUUUGUUGCCAGCGGUCCGGCCGGGAACUCAAAGGAGACUGCCAGUGAUAAACUGGAGGAAGGUGGGGAUGACGUCAAGUCAUCAUGGCCCUUACGACCAGGGCUACACACGUGCUACAAUGGCGCAUACAAAGAGAAGCGACCUCGCGAGAGCAAGCGGACCUCAUAAAGUGCGUCGUAGUCCGGAUUGGAGUCUGCAACUCGACUCCAUGAAGUCGGAAUCGCUAGUAAUCGUGGAUCAGAAUGCCACGGUGAAUACGUUCCCGGGCCUUGUACACACCGCCCGUCACACCAUGGGAGUGGGUUGCAAAAGAAGUAGGUAGCUUAACCUUCGGGAGGGCGCUUACCACUUUGUGAUUCAUGACUGGGGUGAAGUCGUAACAAGGUAACCGUAGGGGAACCUGCGGUUGGAUCACCUCCUUACCUUAAAGAAGCGUACUUUGCAGUGCUCACACAGAUUGUCUGAUGAAAA
RNAcentral lists this ribosomal RNA (1664 nucleotides) under Salmonella enterica subsp. enterica serovar Paratyphi A. Its description in RNAcentral is "bacterial SSU rRNA". It matches the Rfam family "Bacterial small subunit ribosomal RNA". Lineage: Bacteria; Pseudomonadati; Pseudomonadota; Gammaproteobacteria; Enterobacterales; Enterobacteriaceae. The record is from RNAcentral.